GGACUGUACCGUUCUCUUUGUCACAA
RNAcentral lists this small RNA (26 nucleotides) under Arabidopsis thaliana (thale cress). RNAcentral's name for it is "ATSL300020". Lineage: Eukaryota; Viridiplantae; Streptophyta; Magnoliopsida; Brassicales; Brassicaceae. The record is from RNAcentral.